Heterocephalus glaber (naked mole-rat) is the source of this 1230-nucleotide long non-coding RNA. The record is from Ensembl. NCBI's taxonomy places the organism in Eukaryota, Metazoa, Chordata, Mammalia, Rodentia, Bathyergidae.
CCUGCGCGCUAGUCUUUCCUGUAGUCUCGUCAGAGAUAUCGCGAUUUUGAGAAAUGUCUCAUGGGAAGUGUAGUUCAAAACAACCGUCACGGGGAGAAGGUUGAUUCUUCACCUCAGCGCUACAGUAGAACCAGGUUCCAAAUGCAGGCUAUGUCUUACGAGCAAUGACAUCUCAGUUUCUGUCAAAUACAAAAGCAUGUAAGAAUAAUUCCCUGGAAGAAUGCAUCAUGAAAAUCCCAGACAGUGGUUUGACUGCGAGUUACAGUUCUGUUAUAGUGUGGAUGUUGAAUGUCCUCCAAAGACCUGUAUGUUAAAAGUUUAGGAGCUAAGCAGUUGGCACCACCUCCCAUCCACCAUGAUGUGCUGCCUUACUAGAGGCCCAAAGCAAAGGCCCAAGUGCCUUUAAUCUCGGACUGGACUCUCCAGAACUGUGAGCCAAAAUAAAACUUUUACCUUUGUAAGAGAAUUAUCUCAGGUGUUUUAUUAUAGUAACAGGAUGCUAACAUAACCACCAUGCUAUGUUUCCCAAAAUAUUCUGCAGUGACAUUGGAACAUUUUUGCAUAACUCCAGUGAUUUCAGUUCAUCCUCCUACAAAGUUCAUCGUGAAAACAUUCAGGAUUUUUUUCUUCGUUGAAGAUUGUCAAUCAAUGCCACAAAUCCUGUUCAGCAAAAAUCUUAGAUCACUGAAUGUAGCUUUAACUUUCUGGAGGAGGAGAAAUGUAACAGUGUAUACUCUAUUUUUUGAGAAUAGAGAUCUUGGAGUUGUAGAUUACUUCUUUGAGUUUACAAUAGUAUUCAGGAAGAAAAGCCAUGCAUUUUACUCACCUGCUCUGCAGAGCUGUUGCCUUUAGUAAAACUGUUACUAUUUUAAACCAGAUGUGGUGGUACACACCUAUAAUCCCAGCACUCUGGGAGGUUUAGGAAGAUGGAAAAUUCAAGCCCAGCCUGGGCAAUUUAGCAUUUUAGGGAAAUCCUGGGGAUGUAGCUCAGUAUGAAAGCCCUGAGUUCAAUCCCUAGUCACACACACACACACACACGCGCGCGCACGCACGCACACACACACACAGAAUUUAGAAAAAUAAAAAUAAACAAAUUUGAAGACUAUGUAAUGUUCUCUGGCCCUUAUCUAUUUCCUGGACAUGUCUUUCUGUUCCCAGAAAUCUGUCUUCUCACAACUGUUGCAUAACCUUUCUUGUGGUGAUAUUUGUUCCCUCUGCCUUGAAAUUCCC